GCUCCAUUAGCUCAGUUGGCUAGAGCACCUGACUUUUAAUCAGGGUGUCCCGCGUUCGAGUCGCGGAUGGGGUACCA
Molecule: transfer RNA, 77 nt
Filed under: Clostridia bacterium
Lineage: Bacteria; Bacillati; Bacillota; Clostridia
Also listed under: 1 other name
Description: tRNA-Lys
Rfam family: tRNA
About the family: Transfer RNA (tRNA) molecules are approximately 80 nucleotides in length. Their secondary structure includes four short double-helical elements and three loops (D, anti-codon, and T loops).
Source: RNAcentral